Molecule: non-coding RNA, 329 nt
Organism: Cyanistes caeruleus (blue tit)
Lineage: Eukaryota; Metazoa; Chordata; Aves; Passeriformes; Paridae
Source: RefSeq, a predicted model, not a curated record
CCGGGGUUACCUGGGCCAGGUGGGCUCGGCCGCGGGGACCCUCCUGGAGGGGCUCAACCUCCCCCAGACCCAGCACAGGAUACGCACGGCGUACGAGCAGGGAGCCACGGCCGUGGUCACCUACACCGGGAUCCUGACGGAUCAGCUCUACCACUGGUGGCAGGGCGAGCAGUGACCCCAAAAUCGGGGUAAAGGACCCCAAAAUUGGGGUAAAGGACCCCAAAAUUGGGGUGAGGGACCCCAAAAACCCCAAUAAAGGAGAGCGGUGACCCCAAAACCGGCCUGAGUUACCCCAAAAACCCCAAUAAAGGCGAGCGGUGACCCCAAAA